Molecule: ribosomal RNA, 780 nt
Filed under: uncultured bacterium
Lineage: Bacteria
Description: bacterial SSU rRNA
Rfam family: Bacterial small subunit ribosomal RNA
Source: RNAcentral
AGAGUUUGAUCAUGGCUCAGGACGAACGCUGGCGGCGUGCUUAACACAUGCAAGUCGAACGAGAUCCAUUCAGUAGCAAUACUGAUGAAGAUCUAGUGGCGAACGGGUGCGUAACACGUGAGGAACUUGUCCCGGUCUCUGGGAUAACAGUUGGAAACGACUGCUAAUACCGGAUGACGUCGGAACUUCGCAUGGAGUACUGACGAAAGGGUUACUGGAUCGGGAGAGCCUCGCGGCCUAUCAGCUUGUUGGUGGGGUAACGGCCUACCAAGGCAUCGACGGGUAGCUGGUCUGAGAGGAUGAUCAGCCACACUGGGACUGAGGCACGGCCCAGACUCCUACGGGAGGCAGCAGUGGGGAAUCUUGCACAAUGGGCGAAAGCCUGAUGCAGCAACCCCGCGUGCGGGAAGAAGGCCCUCGGGUUGUAAACCGCUUUCAGAAGGAACGAAACUGACGGUACUUUCAGAAGAAGGUGCGGCCAACUACGUGCCAGCAGCCGCGGUGACACGUAGGCCCCAAGCGUUGUCCGGAUUUAUUGGGCGUAAAGAGCUCGUAGGCGGUUCAGUAAGUCGGGUGUGAAAACUUUGGGCUUAACCCAAAGCGCUGCAUCCGAUACUGCUGUGACUUGAGUUCGGUAGGGGAGUGUGGAAUUCCUAGUGUAGCGGUGAAAUGCGCAGAUAUUAGGAGGAACACCGGUGGCGAAGGCGCCACUCUGGGCCGAAACUGACGCUGAGGAGCGAAAGCAUGGGUAGCAGACAGGAUUAGAUACCCCGGUAGUCC